GACGAACGCUGGCGGCGCGCCUAACACAUGCAAGUCGAACGGAGCUGAGAGAAGCUUGCUUUUCUUAGCUUAGUGGCGAACGGGUGAGUAACGCGUGAGUAACCUGCCCUGGAGUGGGGGACAACAGUUGGAAACGACUGCUAAUACCGCAUAAGCCCACGAUCCGGCAUCGGAUUGAGGGAAAAGGAUUUAUUCGCUUCAGGAUGGACUCGCGUCCAAUUAGCUAGUUGGUGAGGUAACGGCCCACCAAGGCGACGAUUGGUAGCCGGACUGAGAGGUUGAAAGGCCACAUUGGGACUGAGACACGGCCCAGACUCCUACGGGAGGCAGCAGUGGGGGAUAUUGCACAAUGGGGGAAACCCUGAUGCAGCGACGCCGCGUGGAGGAAGAAGGUUUUCGGAUUGUAAACUCCUGUCGUUAGGGACGAUAAUGACGGUACCUAACAAGAAAGCACCGGCUAACUACGUG
Molecule: ribosomal RNA, 468 nt
Filed under: uncultured bacterium
Lineage: Bacteria
Description: partial 16S ribosomal RNA
Rfam family: Bacterial small subunit ribosomal RNA
Source: RNAcentral